This 253-nucleotide ribosomal RNA is filed under the name uncultured bacterium. Its description in RNAcentral is "partial 16S ribosomal RNA". It matches the Rfam family "Bacterial small subunit ribosomal RNA", at positions 524 to 776 of the family's 1533-position model. The record is from RNAcentral.
UACGUAGGGCGCAAGCGUUAUCCGGAAUCAUUGGGCGUAAAGCGCGUGUAGGCGGCCCGGUAAGUCCGCUGUGAAAGUCGGGGGCUCAACCCUCGAAUGCCGGUGGAUACUGUCGGGCUAGAGUGCGGAAGAGGCGAGUGGAAUUCCUGGUGUAGCGGUGAAAUGCGCAGAUAUCAGGAGGAACACCAAUUGCGAAGGCAGCUCGCUGGGACGUGACUGACGCUGAGACGCGAAAGCGUGGGGAGCAAACAGG